UAGGGAAUCUUCCACAAUGGACGCAAGUCUGAUGGAGCAACGCCGCGUGAGUGAAGAAGGUUUUCGGAUCGUAAAGCUCUGUUGUUGGUGAAGAAGGAUAGAGGCAGUAACUGGUCUUUAUUUGACGGUAAUCAACCAGAAAGUCACGGCUAACUACGUGCCAGCAGCCGCGGUAAUACGUAUGUGGCAAGCGUUGUCCGGAUUUAUUGGGCGUAAAGCGAGCGCAGGCGGAAUGAUAAGUCUGAUGUGAAAGCCCACGGCUCAACCGUGGAACUGCAUCGGAAACUGUCAUUCUUGAGUGCAGAAGAGGAGAGUGGAAUUCCAUGUGUAGCGGUGGAAUGCGUAGAUAUAUGGAAGAACACCAGUGGCGAAGGCGGCUCUCUGGUCUGCAACUGACGCUGAGGCUCGAAAGCAUGGGUAGCGAACAGG
RNAcentral lists this ribosomal RNA (429 nucleotides) under bacterium. RNAcentral describes it as "partial 16S ribosomal RNA". It matches the Rfam family "Bacterial small subunit ribosomal RNA", at positions 355 to 776 of the family's 1533-position model. The record is from RNAcentral.